UGGCUAGAUUCUUUUGUGACCACCUCCGAGUGGAUGGUUCAUGUGAUUCUCGUGUACCCAAAGCUUAACGGAUGGAUAUUGAAGCUAAACGGGAGGUUUUCGGGAAGAUUUAUGAAGGUUAGAAGCUUACACACAAGUUAGGAGUUGAAAAAUGCGAAAAAUGGUGAGAAACCAGUACUUGGCGCAAGAAGAAACCAGUUUGGCGCAACCUUGUGUCAGUUUGGGCGCAAUACAGAUGCUAGUCAGUCAGGGGCGCAACCUUGUGCCAGGGGGGGCGCAACCUUGCGCUGACAGCAGAUAGUCACGCGAAAAUUCAGGAUUUCACUUUAUUUUAAGAUAUCUUCAACCUCAAAACGAGAUAUUCCCUAACCCUAGCCGUUUUCCACUUCCCAAGGAUGAAUUUUUGAGUUCCCAACCUCAAUUUUCAUCAAUCUUUCAUGCAAUCAAACAUCCAAGACAACCAAGAAGAUCAAAUCAUGACUAUGAGUGGCUAGAUUCUUU
Molecule: long non-coding RNA, 501 nt
Filed under: Helianthus annuus (common sunflower)
Lineage: Eukaryota; Viridiplantae; Streptophyta; Magnoliopsida; Asterales; Asteraceae
Source: RNAcentral